GCCAGGCCUGGUGGUGCACACCUGUAAUCCCAGCGGCUUGGGAGGCUGAGGCAGGAGGAUCAAAAGUUCAAAGCCAGCUUCAGCAACUCAGUGAGGGCCUAAGUAACCCAGUGAGACCCUGUCUCUA
This 127-nucleotide small RNA is filed under the name Marmota monax (woodchuck). Lineage: Eukaryota; Metazoa; Chordata; Mammalia; Rodentia; Sciuridae. The record is from RNAcentral.